This 85-nucleotide transfer RNA is filed under the name Thalassiosira oceanica. It matches the Rfam family "tRNA". From Rfam's summary of the family: Transfer RNA (tRNA) molecules are approximately 80 nucleotides in length. The record is from Rfam by way of RNAcentral. Lineage: Eukaryota; Bacillariophyta; Thalassiosirophyceae; Thalassiosirales; Thalassiosiraceae.
UGGCGUAUGGCAAAGUGGUAUCGCAUCUCACUGCAUCUCACUUGUAAUGAGAAGAUCGUUGCUGGUUCGAUCCCAGCAAUCCCAG